RNAcentral lists this ribosomal RNA (508 nucleotides) under uncultured bacterium. RNAcentral's name for it is "partial 16S ribosomal RNA". It matches the Rfam family "Bacterial small subunit ribosomal RNA", at positions 28 to 523 of the family's 1533-position model. The record is from RNAcentral.
GACGAACGCUGGCGGCGCGCUUAAUACAUGCAAGUCGAGCGAGAACCGGGGCUUCGGCCCCGGGGACAGCGGCGAACGGGUGAGUAACACGCGGAUAACCUGCCCUCGGCACCGGGAUAGCCCGGGGAAACCCGGAUUAAUACCGGAUGGCCCAGCCGGCUCACGGGCUGGCUGGAAAAGGUAGCUUCGGCCUCUGGCCGAGGAUGGGUCCGCGGCGGAUUAGCUUGUUGGCGGGGUAACGGCCCACCAAGGCGACGAUCCGUAGCUGGUCUGAGAGGACGAGCAGCCACACUGGGACUGAGACACGGCCCAGACUCCUACGGGAGGCAGCAGUAGGGAAUCUUGCGCAAUGGGCGAAAGCCUGACGCAGCGACGCCGCGUGAGGGAAGAAGGCCUUCGGGUUGUAAACCUCUUUCAGGAGGGACGAAGCUACUCGGGUGAACAGCCCAGAGGGUGACGGUACCUCCAGAAGAAGCCCCGGCUAACUACGUGCCAGCCGCCGCGGUAA